This 375-nucleotide ribosomal RNA is filed under the name uncultured bacterium. Its description in RNAcentral is "bacterial SSU rRNA". It matches the Rfam family "Bacterial small subunit ribosomal RNA", at positions 523 to 898 of the family's 1533-position model. The record is from RNAcentral.
AUACGAAGGGGGCUAGCGUUGCUCGGAAUCACUGGGCGUAAAGGGUGCGUAGGCGGGUCUUUAAGCCAGAGGUGAAAUCCUGGAGCUCAACUCCAGAACUGCCUUUGAUACUGAGGAUCUUGAGUUCGGGAGAGGUGAGUGGAACUGCGAGUGUAGAGGUGAAAUUCGUAGAUAUUCGCAAGAACACCAGUGGCGAAGGCGGCUCACUGGCCCGAUACUGACGCUGAGGCACGAAAGCGUGGGGAGCAAACAGGAUGAGAUACCCUGGUAGUCCACGCCGUAAACGAUGAAUGCCAGCCGUUGGUGGGUUUACUCACCAGUGGCGCAGCUAACGCUUUAAGCAUUCCGCCUGGGGAGUACGGUCGCAAGAUUAAA